Molecule: ribosomal RNA, 788 nt
Filed under: Aerococcus sp. I13-CRBM-T3P21
Lineage: Bacteria; Bacillati; Bacillota; Bacilli; Lactobacillales; Aerococcaceae
Description: bacterial SSU rRNA
Rfam family: Bacterial small subunit ribosomal RNA
Source: RNAcentral
AGUCGAGCGAACAGAUGAAGUGCUUGCACUUCUGACGUUAGCGGCGAACGGGUGAGUAACACGUAAGGAAUCUACCUAUAAGCGGGGGAUAACAUUCGGAAACGGGUGCUAAUACCGCAUAAUAUCUUCUUCCGCAUGGAAGAAGAUUGAAAGACGGCUCUGCUGUCACUUAUAGAUGACCUUGCGGUGCAUUAGUUAGUUGGUGGGGUAACGGCCUACCAAGACGAUGAUGCAUAGCCGACCUGAGAGGGUGAUCGGCCACAUUGGGACUGAGACACGGCCCAAACUCCUACGGGAGGCAGCAGUAGGGAAUCUUCCGCAAUGGGCGAAAGCCUGACGGAGCAAUGCCGCGUGAGUGAAGAAGGCCUUCGGGUCGUAAAACUCUGUUAUAAGAGAAGAACAAAUUGUAGAGUAACUGCUACAGUCUUGACGGUAUCUUAUCAGAAAGCCACGGCUAACUACGUGCCAGCAGCCGCGGUAAUACGUAGGUGGCAAGCGUUGUCCGGAUUUAUUGGGCGUAAAGGGAGCGCAGGUGGUUUCUUAAGUCUGAUGUGAAAGCCCACGGCUUAACCGUGGAGGGUCAUUGGAAACUGGGAAACUUGAGUACAGAAGAGGAAUGUGGAACUCCAUGUGUAGCGGUGGAAUGCGUAGAUAUAUGGAAGAACACCAGUGGCGAAGGCGACAUUCUGGUCUGUUACUGACACUGAGGCUCGAAAGCGUGGGGAGCAAACAGGAUUAGAUACCCUGGUAGUCCACGCCGUAAACGAUGAGUGCUAGGUGUUGGAGGG